GUUUCAGGUCUGGUUUCCACAAAGCGAUAUUCCAGAUAAUAGGGAAAUUGGUGUUGGAAAACAUGAGGAAGAGAUAAAUGAAGCAACGGAAACUGUUGUUGAAGUGGUAACAGAUUUACAAGAUUUAUGUGGAGAGAAGGAUAAAAGUUCUGCAAUAGUUUUGGCAGAUCAAUUGAGCAAUGUAACUGAUGUUGAGAGGAA
Molecule: unclassified non-coding RNA, 201 nt
Filed under: Hevea brasiliensis (rubber tree)
Lineage: Eukaryota; Viridiplantae; Streptophyta; Magnoliopsida; Malpighiales; Euphorbiaceae
Source: RNAcentral